This 677-nucleotide ribosomal RNA is filed under the name Aspergillus sp. MBTFUF1. Its description in RNAcentral is "eukaryotic LSU rRNA". The stretch from base 172 to 325 matches the Rfam family "5.8S ribosomal RNA". The record is from RNAcentral. Lineage: Eukaryota; Fungi; Ascomycota; Eurotiomycetes; Eurotiales; Aspergillaceae.
UGGCCCAACCUCCCACCCGUGACUAUUGUACCUUGUUGCUUCGGCGGGCCCGCCAGCGUUUGCUGGCCGCCGGGGGGCGACUCGCCCCCGGGCCCGUGCCCGCCGGAGACCCCAACAUGAACCCUGUUCUGAAAGCUUGCAGUCUGAGUGUGAUUCUUUGCAAUCAGUUAAAACUUUCAACAAUGGAUCUCUUGGUUCCGGCAUCGAUGAAGAACGCAGCGAAAUGCGAUAACUAAUGUGAAUUGCAGAAUUCAGUGAAUCAUCGAGUCUUUGAACGCACAUUGCGCCCCCUGGUAUUCCGGGGGGCAUGCCUGUCCGAGCGUCAUUGCUGCCCUCAAGCCCGGCUUGUGUGUUGGGCCCUCGUCCCCCGGCUCCCGGGGGACGGGCCCGAAAGGCAGCGGCGGCACCGCGUCCGGUCCUCGAGCGUAUGGGGCUUCGUCUUCCGCUCCGUAGGCCCGGCCGGCGCCCGCCGACGCAUUUAUUUGCAACUUGUUUUUUUCCAGGUUGACCUCGGAUCAGGUAGGGAUACCCGCUGAACUUAAGCAUAUCAAUAGCAGGGAGGAUACCGAGUGCGGGUCUUUAUGGCCCAACCUCCCACCCGUGACUAUAGUACCUUGUUGCUACGGCGGGCCCGCCGCGUUUUGCUGGCCGCCGGGGGGCGACUCGCCCCGGGCCUG